Molecule: ribosomal RNA, 1871 nt
Filed under: marine metagenome
Description: bacterial LSU rRNA
Rfam family: Bacterial large subunit ribosomal RNA
Source: RNAcentral
AACAACCCAGAUCUACAGCUAAGGCCCCCUAAAUCUAUACUAAGUUGAUCUAAGGUGGUUCAUUUACUCAGACAGCCAGGAUGUUGGCUUGGAAGCAGCCAUUCAUUUAAAGAGUGCGUAACAGCUCACUGGUCGAGCGAAAGAGCAUCAAUAAUAAUCGGGCAUAAAGUAUAGUGCCGAAGCUUAGAAUUCUACCGAAUGGUAGGGGAGCAUUCUAUUUACAUUGAAGAUAAAUUGUAAGGUUUAUUGGAGUUUAUAGAAUAGAAAAUGUAGGCAUAAGUAACGAUAAUGCAGGUGAGAAACCUGCACACCGAAAGACUAAGGUUUCCUGAACAACGCUAAUCGAUUCAGGGUUAGUCGGGUCCUAAGAUGAACCCGAAUGGGGUAAUCGAUGGAUAAUCGGUUAAUAUUCCGAUACUACCAUUAUUUGUGAUGGAGUGACGAAGUAGUGAAAGGUCCGCGUACUGACGGAAUAGUACGUUAAAGCGAGUAGGUAUAAGAUUAGUUGGCAAAUCCGCUAGUCUUGCUGAACGUAAUAGUACCACAAUCCUUCGGGAGCGUGGAUAGUGACCCUAAUCAGACUUCCAAGAAAAACUUCUAAACUUAUGAUAAUGGUACCCGUACCAUAAACCGACACAGGUAGUCGAGGAGAGAAUCCUAAGGUGCUCGAGUGAUUCAUGGCUAAGGAACUAGGCAAAAUAGUCCUGUAACUUCGGGAGAAAGGACGCCUCCCUCGUAAGAGGAGGCCGCAGUGAAAAGGCCCAGGCGACUGUUUAUCAAAAACACAUGGCAUUGCAAAUUCGAAAGAAAAAGUAUAAUGUCUGACACCUGCCCGGUGCUGGAAGGUUAAGGGGAGACGUUAGAGUUUACUCAAAGCGUUGAUCUGAAGCCCCAGUAAACGGCGGCCGUAACUAUAACGGUCCUAAGGUAGCGAAAUUCCUUGUCGGGUAAGUUCCGACCUGCACGAAUGGUGUAACGAUCUGGGCACUGUCUCAGCCAUGAGCUCGGUGAAAUUGUAGUAGCGGUGAAGAUGCCGCUUAACCGCAACGGGACGGAAAGACCCCGUGAACCUUUACUAUAACUUUGUAUUGGUAUUGUGUAAAUAAUGUGUAGGAUAGGUGGGAGACUUUGAUCCUGUGUCGCUAGGCAUAGGUUAGUCGUUGGUGAAAUACCACCCUUUAUUUACUUGAUCCCUAACUCAUUUAUGAGGACAUUGCAUGGCGGGUAGUUUGACUGGGGUGGUCGCCUCCUAAAAAGUAACGGAGGCUUUCAAAGGUUCCCUCUGUACGUUUGGUAAUCGUAUUUAGAGCGCAAUAGCAUAAGGGAGCUUGACUGUGAGGCCAACAAGCCGAUCAGGUAGGAAACUAGGAUAUAGUGAUCCGGUGGUUCCGCAUGGAAGGGCCAUCGCUCAAAGGAUAAAAGGUACUCCGGGGAUAACAGGCUGAUCUCCCCCAAGAGCUCACAUCGACGGGGAGGUUUGGCACCUCGAUGUCGGCUCGUCACAUCCUGGGGCUGUAGAAGGUCCCAAGGGUUGGGCUGUUCGCCCAUUAAAGUGGCACGCGAGCUGGGUUCAGAACGUCGUGAGACAGUUCGGUCCCUAUCUGUUGUGGUCGUUAGAAGCUUGAGAGGAUCUAACUCUAGUACGAGAGGACCGAGUUGGACAAACCUCUAGUGUACCGGUUGUGGUGCCAACUGCACCGCCGGGUAGCUACGUUUGGAAGAGAUAAGCGCUGAAAGCAUCUAAGCACGAAGCUUACCUCAAGAUGAGGCUUCUUUUAAGGGUCGUUCAAGACUAGGACGUUGAUAGGCUGUAGGUGUAAAGAUAGAAAUAUCAAAGCUGAGCAGUACUAAUUACCCGUAACUUCCAGUUC